RNAcentral lists this ribosomal RNA (421 nucleotides) under Streptomyces atratus. Its description in RNAcentral is "bacterial SSU rRNA". It matches the Rfam family "Bacterial small subunit ribosomal RNA", at positions 18 to 442 of the family's 1533-position model. The record is from RNAcentral. Lineage: Bacteria; Bacillati; Actinomycetota; Actinomycetes; Kitasatosporales; Streptomycetaceae.
CAUGGCUCAGGACGAACGCUGGCGGCGUGCUUAACACAUGCAAGUCGAACGAUGAAGCCCUUCGGGGUGGAUUAGUGGCGAACGGGUGAGUAACACGUGGGCAAUCUGCCCUUCACUCUGGGACAAGCCCUGGAAACGGGGUCUAAUACCGGAUAACACUCUGUCCCGCAUGGGACGGGGUUGAAAGCUCCGGCGGUGAAGGAUGAGCCCGCGGCCUAUCAGCUUGUUGGUGGGGUGAUGGCCUACCAAGGCGACGACGGGUAGCCGGCCUGAGAGGGCGACCGGCCACACUGGGACUGAGACACGGCCCAGACUCCUACGGGAGGCAGCAGUGGGGAAUAUUGCACAAUGGGCGAAAGCCUGAUGCAGCGACGCCGCGUGAGNNAAUGACGGCCUUCGGGUUGUAAACCUCUUUCAGCAG